GACGAACGCUGGCGGCGUGCUUAACACAUGCAAGUCGAACGGUGAAGCGCCUUCCUUUUUGGUGGGUGUGGAUGAGUGGCGAACGGGUGAGUAACACGUGAGUAACCUGCCCCCUUCUUCUGGAUAACCGCAUGAAAGUGUGUCUAAUACGGGAUAUUCUGGGUCUGUCGCAUGAUGGGUCUGGGAAAGUUAUUGGUUCGGUGGGGGAUGGGCUGGCGGCCUAUCAGGUUGUUGGUGGGGUGAUGGCCUACCAAGGCGGUGACGGGUCGCCGGCCUGAGAGGGUGGCCGGCCAGAGUGGGAGAGGGGCAAGGCCGAGACUGAGACGGGAGGCAGCAGUGGGGGGUAGGGAACAGUGGGGGAUAGGGUGCAGCGGCGGGGCGGCGUGAGCGACGGCGCCGUUCGGGGUGUGAAGGCCUUCCGGUAGUAAAGCAGGCCCGCCUGGUUUGAGGGGGGGUUGACGGUAGCGGGAGAAGAAGCGCCGGCUAACUACGUG
This 494-nucleotide ribosomal RNA is filed under the name uncultured bacterium. Its description in RNAcentral is "partial 16S ribosomal RNA". It matches the Rfam family "Bacterial small subunit ribosomal RNA", at positions 28 to 507 of the family's 1533-position model. The record is from RNAcentral.